AUUGAACGCUGGCGGCGUGCUUAACACAUGCAAGUCGAACGAAGUGGCGAACGGGUGAGUAAUACGUGGGUAACCUGCCCUCCUUUUUGGGAUAAGCCUUGGCAACGGGGUCUAAUACCGAAUAAAGGGGGAUGGGCUCGCGGCCUAUCAGCUUGUUGGGGGGGUGAUGGCCUACCAAGGCGGUGACGGGUAGCCGGCCUGAGAGGGCGACCGGCCACAUUGGGAGUGAGAGACGGCUCAGACUGCUACGGGAGGCAGCAGUGGGGGAUAUUGCACAAUUGGGGAAAGCCUGCUGCGGCGACGCCGCGUGGGGGAUGAAGUCUUUCGGGUUGUAAACCUGUUUCGCUCUCGAACGGGUAGGUGGAGAAGAAGCGCCGGCUAACUACGUGCCAGCAGCCGCGGUAAUAC
This 408-nucleotide ribosomal RNA is filed under the name uncultured bacterium. Its description in RNAcentral is "partial 16S ribosomal RNA". It matches the Rfam family "Bacterial small subunit ribosomal RNA", at positions 28 to 526 of the family's 1533-position model. The record is from RNAcentral.